CACACACACACACAACAUGCACAGAUACAUGUAUGCCUCCCCUCUAACAAGCACAGAAGCCUUUUCAGAUUUCUUCCUUGAAGGGAAGAGGCAUGCCCUCAGCCCUGAGGGAAGGAGCCAAAAAGCCUGUUUUUUGUUAGUUCUGGGCCUGCUGGCAAUGAGCCACCUGUGGGCUCCCUCUUUUGUCCCCCAAAAAUGUGAGCUGUCUGCACUGGUUACAAGUGGGAGAUGAGGACAUUGGGGAGCAGCACUUUUGGCCAGGGAUGUUGGUGGGAGGAAGGAGGCGGGUAAGAGGAGGGAGGGCUUCUUAAAAAUGUAUUCCCCUGAAGCCAGCAGGACUGCACACACACUUCCGCUAAGCCUGUUUCCCUAAGUCCCCCCAUGCCACUCAAGCGCGUAACUCAGAAGAGAGGCUUCCUUUGCUCCCUACCGAAUCACGUUUUCUUGGGUGGAUGUUAAGACAACGGGCAAAAACGAGCUAAAGUUUGGCAGUCUCCAGCCGUAUGUGGGAAUGCCACACGUGACCUCUGGGUCAUGUUCCAUGGUCAUUUAUUCUACUUCUGGAGGGAGCUAUUAGGAAAUCAAACCCCAGGAAGAUUUGGGACAAGCAUGGCCCUGGGACCCAUGUGCCAGGAAGCUGAUAAGGAUGUUCAGGAUUCUCUCCGUCAGAGCCUACGAGAAGUUCAAACCUCACACACCCCCUGUUCAUGUGCUAGGACCAUCCUCUACCUGUGAGCCCCAGAGACACCAGAUGGUGGGAGUGAGGCGCUGCCAUGUACUUUGAAUACCAGCCACAGGCAUUCAUAGGUAAUGGCAUCUUCUUGACUCUGGACUAGAUUAUGUAAAUGGUGUGUUUCAGGAGCAAGACAGUGGUUAGCAGGGCGUAAGAUAGAUGCCCUGCAGUGCUUGGCAAACUGCGCUUAUUCCGUGCCAAAUCUUUCUGUUGUGUUUCACACAGAGCAACCAAGGUCUCCAGACUUCUCCAGAUCAACCCAUUGUCUUGAGCCUGAGGUCUGUUGUUCCCUCCCCAACAUCCCCCAACCCCAUGUCAUCAACUGGUAACAGAUUCAAGCAGUCAAGCCUCACUGAUGUCAGCACAGAAGGUCGGGAGGACAGGGGUCUCACCUGUCAAUUUUCACUGGAAAGUUGGAAAGUGUCAGAAUGUGGGUUUACUUUCAGAAGGAUGGUUUUCUCUCUGGACCCUUGUGUUUUUGUAAGAGCACAGGGUUUGAUGAACCCCAGGAGAUAAGAAAAGUAUUGAUUAGCCAAGAAUGUCAACUCAGCUAGAAGAGAAGAAGCCAUACUACCCGGUGGCCAACUUGCUUCAGGAGGGUGCAGGGAUAGAACAGAACAGAUUGCCUGGUCUACAAGGAGUUCUUACUGUCAGACAUAAAUGGAUACCACUCUCCUGAGAGAAACAGGGUUUUUUCAAAUAAAACCAAAGUUCCCCAAGGCAAGCCCAGUGGUUGAACUUUUCCUCGAAUAUCCCAUUCCUGGGAGGAGUGAGGCAUAAGGGAAGGUCAGUAUCACCAUCUGGUCUCCAGCUGAUUUGGCAAGAAAAACAUAGCAGCGAUGUUGGCCUUUAAUGCAACUGACUGCUGUUGGCUCUCACAUGAAAAUGAAUUAGGAGAGCCAAAUUUUAUAAUUGCUGGUGAAUCUGUUGAUGGUCAGCGUUGAAACUUCUAUGACUCCUUUCUUCCCAUUUAUCACCAUUUGUCGUAUUCUGCACCCCAGGAUUUGGGGAGGAUGACCAGAUGGAAAUCAGACUACAGUCAUUGAGCAGGUAAAAAAACAGAUGGCCAUGUAAGGAGAAAGACAGAAGGCUUCAGGGUGGGACAGAAGCUCUGACCAGGGAACCAACCUUCCCAUCCCAGGCUCCAAGGCCUAGUCAGAGUCAAGCUGGAUGGUCCAAGAACUGAUAGAGCUCAACCUGGCCCCUCUGCCAUUGUCAAGGACAAGUCACAUGACACCUUUGUUGAUCUGACGGGGAAGAGUAAGAUAGCACAGCAAAGGGAGACAAAGGCUUCUGGUAACCAUGCUCCAAUGUGAUGGUUUGUAUAUGCUUGAG
Molecule: small RNA, 2068 nt
Filed under: Rattus norvegicus (Norway rat)
Lineage: Eukaryota; Metazoa; Chordata; Mammalia; Rodentia; Muridae
Description: uncharacterized LOC102550135
Source: RNAcentral